Molecule: long non-coding RNA, 1994 nt
Filed under: Hordeum vulgare
Lineage: Eukaryota; Viridiplantae; Streptophyta; Magnoliopsida; Poales; Poaceae
Description: long non-coding RNA (HVUL_LNC004460)
Source: RNAcentral
GCGAAUAUAAGAGGAAAGCUUUAUUAAUGAAGGUGUGGUUCUAUGACGCCUUUGUCUGGUCGUGGAACACAAACGAAGGACGCGAAGUUGCAGAUAUGGCAAACUUGUAAUCUAAACAAAAUCCAAGUCUAAAUGGUGCCCUAAGGGCUAUAUAUAUGAGGAAAUAGCGAGGGAAUUUCGUGACCCUUGGAGGAGGAGUCCGAAAACAAUCCUAAACUCGGUUUCCCCACACAUACAGACUCUAAAAAUAGCCUAUAAUAUGGUAUUUCGAAAUUACAUGGGCCUGGCCCAAAAAUAAGGUCGUGCAACAUCUAUAAUAGCCUAUGAACGAAAUUUAUAAAGUAGCGUCUUAAAUAUUUCGUCCAAGCCUUCGUGCUCUCCUUAUGGUGGCUUUAAAGUGCAAAAAUCACCAGUGAAAGCUCCUCUGUUCUUUCCCGCAUGUGCACCUUCUUCUCCAUGCUUGAUCCCACUCCAACGGAUAUCCUUCUUGUCCAUGCUAGGUCCUUCAUUUAUAAGUACAACAAAAGUAUCUAAUUUAGGCAGCAUCAUAUGUUCAUGAACAUUAGAAGGAUUUUCAACAAACGAAAGUACGUGGUAAUUCAAUUGGCGUGCGCGAGCUCUAGUAACUGGUCCAGUAUGUAUAACAGCUGGAGAUGUGGGUGUAACAAUGGUGUUGAUGUCCUCAUCACACCUUUCCUUGGUGCUUCCAUGCCAUGGCCCGGGGUACAUUGAUGUUGACCCGUGGGUUGACCUGGAAGGGGGAUAAGGAGGCAGCCGACCACCGGAUGGCGAGUGAUAGCCUUGCGAGUAGCCUCCAUGUCAAUGAUGAGAGGGGUGCCCUUGCCCCUGGGACGCCUCGGCGCCGGCUUGCCCAAUCGGUCACGAGUAACCGGGGACAGGGUGACUCCAGCCCCGCCCUUGGCUGGCAGAGAUUGCAGCCCCUCCGCCGAAGCCAUCACCCCUCUAGAGCUCACCACACACUCCUAAUUCGUCUACACUGGCCUCUCCUUUUCCUCGCCCCUAGUCGCCAUGAUUCUCGCCCCUCGAUCCCAGCCCGCUCAAGAGGAACCGGGGUAUAGAGGACUAAAAACGAGUGAACUGCGUGAAGAACUGGGGCAACCCCGAUUCCCACAAAUAUAGUACUAUGAAUCCCCAAAUCUGGCAGCCUCUAAGCCCGUGAUACAUUUAACAACAAAUGAAAGAUCAUGAUUCUGCUGUUUCCUAAACUUCCAAGCGGAAGUAACUCUUUUGUUCCCCAAGUGAAUAAAAUCAGCAGCUUCCACAGGGAAUUGUGUUGACGCGUCCGUUUCCCACUGAUUUCUCUCUCUGAUUCCUAAUCUACUUGAAAGACCCUCCAAAUUAACCAGCGACACAUACAAAUCCCCCUUAGCUAUCGUGGAGAAAACCUCCAGGACACUAUCCUCCAAAUUCGCAGAAGUUGUGGCGCUCGUAGUCCUACUCGACCAGAUCGAGCCCGCCCCAGAAGGAAUAGAGGAGAUCUCACCUUCCAAACUGCUGAAAAUUUCUUUUAACUUUUAUUCUCAUAUGUCGUCCGGUCCACGAUUCGCCUUGAUUUCGCCCUGAUUUCCUCCCAACCCCGCACGCUGAAGAUACCCCAUUCGAGGGCCACUCCAGGAGGAUAGCCCCCUCCCCUGGCGGGGCCGCCAUCUCACUCACGCUCACACUCCGUUGCCGCUGGAUCGCCUUUGCGAUCGUAUUCGAUCUAAUUUAGACAUAGCUUAGUCAUUUAAGUUCCCACACCAUAUGAGCAAAAUUGUCGUGUUUGUGAAUUGGAGGAGCUGGAUAUCCAGAUAUAUGUGGCUUAUGCGAAAUUCAUCUCCAAAAUGAACUAAAAAAAUGGGAAAUGAUGCUAAUCAUCUGGCGGAUCGGACAUUUUCCAUCCGCCUCCUCGUGCGCACGACACGUGUCCCGUGCGUUGGGCCACAACUAUGAAGUCGAUGGCGGGCGGUGCGGGUGAGAGUCUAGAUUGCAAG